GUGGGGAAUAUUGGACAAUGGGCGAAAGCCUGAUCCAGCCAUGCCGCGUGUGUGAAGAAGGUCUUCGGAUUGUAAAGCACUUUAAGUUGGGAGGAAGGGCAGUAAGUUAAUACCUUGCUGUUUUGACGUUACCGACAGAAUAAGCACCGGCUAACUUCGUGCCAGCAGCCGCGGUAAUACGAAGGGUGCAAGCGUUAAUCGGAAUUACUGGGCGUAAAUCGCGCGUAGGUGGUUUGGUAAGUUGGAGGUGAGAUCCCCGGGCUCAACCUGGGAACUGCCUACAAAACUGCAUGACUAGAGUACGGUAGAGGGUAGUGGAAUUUCCUGUGUAGCGGUGAAAUGCGUAGAUAUAGGAAGGAACACCAGUGGCGAAGGCGACCACCUGGACUGAUACUGACACUGAGGUGCGAAAGCGUGGGGAGCAAACAGGAUUAGAAACCCUUGUAGUCC
This 450-nucleotide ribosomal RNA is filed under the name uncultured bacterium. RNAcentral's name for it is "partial 16S ribosomal RNA". It matches the Rfam family "Bacterial small subunit ribosomal RNA", at positions 354 to 796 of the family's 1533-position model. The record is from RNAcentral.